RNAcentral lists this ribosomal RNA (366 nucleotides) under uncultured fungus. RNAcentral describes it as "partial 18S ribosomal RNA". The stretch from base 1 to 153 matches the Rfam family "5.8S ribosomal RNA". The record is from RNAcentral. Lineage: Eukaryota; Fungi.
ACUUUCAACAACGGAUCUCUUGGUUCUGGCAUCGAUGAAGAACGCAGCAAAAUGCGAUAAGUAAUGUGAAUUGCAGAAUUCAGUGAAUCAUCGAAUCUUUGAACGCACAUUGCGCCCGCCAGUAUUCUGGCGGGCAUGCCUGUUCGAGCGUCAUUUCAACCCUCAAGCACAGCUUGGUGUUGGGACUCGCGUUAAUUCGCGUUCCUCAAAUUGAUUGGCGGUCACGUCGAGCUUCCAUAGCGUAGUAGUAAAACCCUCGUUACUGGUAAUCGUCGCGGCCACGCCGUUAAACCCCAACUUCUGAAUGUUGACCUCGGAUCAGGUAGGAAUACCCGCUGAACUUAAGCAUAUCAAAAGGCGGAGGAA